UCGCCGAAAGGGUUAGGUUUCCUGAUCAACGUUAAUCGGAUCAGGGUUAGUCAGGGCUUAAGGAUAAGCCGAAAGGCGAAGCCGAUGGACAAUUGGUUAAUAUUCCAAUACUUGAAUAUACUGCGAUGGAGGGACGAAAUAGUGACAGGCACGCGCACUUACGGAAUAGUGCGUUAAAGGUAGUAGGUUUAAGGCUUGGUUAAUAGCUAAGUUUUGCUGAAAGCUGACAGUACCAGGAGUCUUCGGACGAAUGGAUAGUUGCCGUAAUCAGAUUUCCGAGAAAAACUUCUAAGCUUCAGGUAUAUUCAACCUGUACCGCAAACCGACACAGGUACCCGGGAUGAGAAUUCUAAGGCGCUCGAGUGAUUCAUGACUAAGGAACUAGGCAAAAUAACCCUGUAACUUCGGGAGAAAGGGUUCCCACGUAAGUGGGACGCAGAGAGAUGGUCCAGGCGACUGUUUAACAAAAACACAGGGCUUUGCAAAAUCGUAAGAUGAAGUAUAAGGCCUGACACCUGCCCGGUGCUGGAAGGUUAAGAGGAGAUGUCAACCGUAAGGCGAAGCAUUGAAUUGAAGCCCCAGUAAACGGCGGCCGUAACGAUAACGGUCCUAAGGUAGCGAAAUUCCUUGUCGGGUAAGUUCCGACCUGCACGAAUGGUGUAACGAUCUGGAUACUGUCUCAGUCAUGAGCUCGGUGAAAUUGUAGUAGCGGUGAAGAUGCCGCUUACCCGCAACGGGACGGAAAGACCCCGUGAACCUUUACUGCAACUUUACAUUGAUUUUGGGUAAAUCAUGUGUAGGAUAGGUGGGAGACUACGAAUCGGUGUCGCCAGGCAUCGUGGAGUCGACGUUGAAAUACCACCCUUGAUUUGCUUGGAGUCUAAUCUCGCUUAAGGCGAGAGACAGUGUAUGGUGGGUAGUUUGACUGGGGUGGUCGCCUCCAAAAGAGUAACGGAGGCUUCUAAAGGUACCCUCAGCACGAAUGGUAACCGUGCGUAGAGUGCAUUGGCAUAAGGGUGCUUGACUGUGAGAGAGACAACUCGAGCAGGUACGAAAGUAGAGCAAAGUGAUCCGGUGGUUCCGCAUGGAAGGGCCAUCGCUCAAAGGAUAAAAGGUACUCCGGGGAUAACAGGCUGAUCGCCGCCAAGAGCUCAUAUCGACGCGGCGGUUUGGCACCUCGAUGUCGGCUCGUCACAUCCUGGGGCUGGAGAAGGUCCCAAGGGUUCGGCUGUUCGCCGAUUAAAGUGGCACGCGAGCUGGGUUCAGAACGUCGUGAGACAGUUCGGUCCCUAUCUGUUGUGGGCGUUGGAAAUUUGAGAGGACCUGACUCCAGUACGAGAGGACCGUGUCGGACAUACCUCUGGUGUACCUGUUGUGGCGCCAGCUGCAGCGCAGGGUAGCUACGUAUGGAUGAGAUAAGCGCUGAAAGCAUCUAAGCACGAAGCUCGCCUCAAGAUGAGAUUUCCUUUAAGGGUCGUUGGAGACUACGACGUUGAUAGGCUGCAGGUGUAAAGGUGGUAACAUCAAAGCCGAGCAGUACUAAUUACUC
Molecule: ribosomal RNA, 1549 nt
Filed under: metagenome
Description: bacterial LSU rRNA
Rfam family: Bacterial large subunit ribosomal RNA
Source: RNAcentral